CUGACAUCUUCAACUGUUCUGUGAAGUCUGCUACAAUAUACUACACAAUGAUCACAAAUUUACCAAGUGACCACUGCAUGGUUGGCUGCCAGGGAGGAUACAGAUCUGCACAGCCCAUGAUUCUUGCCCUAGAGGAGUUUGGAAAAACUUUGAAUGUGAAAGCAGCAUGACAUACAAAGGUUUCUGUCCCACAAUUUUCCAGUGAUUCUACAAGGAGCAAAAUUCAUAAACAAAAGUUUUGAGCUAAAUACAUAACCACCAGAUGGCCAGCAGUGCCUGAGGAAUGUCACAUAUAUCCCACCUUGGGAAUUGGGGGAUAUGGUGGGGUGUUAGCUUGUGCUUUGCCCUCAGCUUGCCUUCUUCUCCCUCAUCAGUUAGACUAUCUCCUGGC
This is a long non-coding RNA of Zalophus californianus (California sea lion), 391 nucleotides long. RefSeq lists it as uncharacterized. The transcript is spliced from 4 exons. The record is from RefSeq and is a predicted model, not a curated record. Lineage: Eukaryota; Metazoa; Chordata; Mammalia; Carnivora; Otariidae.